AUUUAAAUAAGUGAUUUUUACACAUUUUUAUGUUUCGUUUGAGUUUUCUUCAUUGUGAUUCUUUCGUCUUGUAUUGUUUUAAUCCCGUCUUUGUGCAGAGUUGUUUGUUUUGUGUCACGUCUUGAUACAAUGUUGAUUUCCUGUCUUAGUACGGUGUUUGUUUUUUCAGAUUUUCAGAUUUGCUUCAAUCCAAAUUCAGUGCAAAUUCAUUGAAUUUAGCGUCGUCAACGUUGCAGAUCCGG
This 242-nucleotide long non-coding RNA is filed under the name Trifolium pratense (red clover). Its description in RNAcentral is "long non-coding RNA (TPRA_LNC000519)". Lineage: Eukaryota; Viridiplantae; Streptophyta; Magnoliopsida; Fabales; Fabaceae. The record is from RNAcentral.